GACGAACGCUGGCGGCAUGCUUAACACAUGCAAGUCGAACGGAAAGGCCCUGCUUUUGUGGGGUGCUCGAGUGGCGAACGGGUGAGUAACACGUGAGUAACCUGCCCUUGACUUUGGGAUAACUUCAGGAAACUGGGGCUAAUACCGGAUAGGAGCUCCUGCUGCAUGGUGGGGGUUGGAAAGUUUCGGCGGUUGGGGAUGGACUCGCGGCUUAUCAGCUUGUUGGUGGGGUAGUGGCUUACCAAGGCUUUGACGGGUAGCCGGCCUGAGAGGGUGACCGGCCACAUUGGGACUGAGAUACGGCCCAGACUCCUACGGGAGGCAGCAGUGGGGAAUAUUGCACAAUGGGCGGAAGCCUGAUGCAGCAACGCCGCGUGCGGGAUGACGGCCUUCGGGUUGUAAACCGUUUUCGCCUGUGACGAAGCGUGAGUGACGGUAAUGGGUAAAGAAGCACCGGCUAACUACGUG
This 468-nucleotide ribosomal RNA is filed under the name uncultured bacterium. Its description in RNAcentral is "partial 16S ribosomal RNA". It matches the Rfam family "Bacterial small subunit ribosomal RNA", at positions 28 to 507 of the family's 1533-position model. The record is from RNAcentral.